ACGGAAGGCAGCAGUGGGGAAUAUUGGUCAAUGGGGGCAACCCUGAACCAGCGACGCCGCGUGAGUGAAGAAGUAUUUCGGUAUGUAAAGCUCUAUCAGCAGGGAAGAUAAUGACAGUACCUGACUAAGAAGCACCGGCUAAAUACGUGCCAGCAGCCGCGGUAAUACGUAUGGAGCAAGCGUUAUCCGGAUUUACUGGGUGUAAAGGGAGCGUAGACGGUAAAGCAAGUCUGAAGUGAAAUCCCGGGGCUCAACCCCGGAACUGCUUUGGAAACUGUUUAACUAGAGUGCAGGAGAGGUAAGCGGAAUUCCUAGUGUAGCGGUGAAAUGCGUAGAUAUUAGGAGGAACACCAGUGGCGAAGGCGGCUUACUGGACUGUAACUGACGUUGAGGCUCGAAAGCGUGGGGAGCAAACAGGAUUAGAUACCCCGGUA
RNAcentral lists this ribosomal RNA (434 nucleotides) under uncultured Lachnospiraceae bacterium. RNAcentral describes it as "bacterial SSU rRNA". It matches the Rfam family "Bacterial small subunit ribosomal RNA", at positions 341 to 792 of the family's 1533-position model. Lineage: Bacteria; Bacillati; Bacillota; Clostridia; Lachnospirales; Lachnospiraceae. The record is from RNAcentral.